GGUGGUGAUUUCGCUAAUUUCAAAGAUCAACUAGUUUAGUCUCUCUCUCGAAGUUGCUUACAGCGUAAGAUUGCGUAAUUAUUUCUACGUUAUAUGAACGUGUGCGUGUGUGCUUUGUUUGGUCACGCUAAUUUUUGUGCUCGGUUGACACUGGUAGGGAGGCUGAGGAUGCAACUCACGCUCGCGUGAUAAAUUGGGCUUCCUCCCCUUGUUCCCGCCUGUCCCGCAGUCUCUGAGAGAAACCUCGCCCAAACCUCCGCAGAAUGGCGGCCUCUCGCGCGCCGACCACCACCCCCGCCGCCGCCGCCGCCGCGGACGGCGGUAUCGAGGAGAACGCGAUGGCCAUCCUCGACUCCUCCGGCAUCAAGGACUCCCGCGAUCUCCACGACGACCGAGCCGCCUUCUUGGAGGCCGUGCGCUCCGCCUGCCUCGCCGCCGACAAUCCCUCGGCCCCCUCGUGGAGAAUGUAUGAUGGUGUUUUCCAGGUUCUUCGAAACAGUAGCUCUCUGGAGCUUGCUGUGGCAAGUUUUCAUCUCUUAAUGGAUUUGGGUAAGCAAUACCCAAGAACAUAUCUGACAGAUUCUGAUGGGCACGAAUCACUAGUUGUAGUCAAAGAGUCUUGGUUACCAUUUCUCAUUGGCAAUGGUUCUCUUAGUAGUGAGAUGGGAGGAACUGCGAGGAUCUCAGAUCACCUAUUUGACCCUUCAAGAUUCUCGUUGCUGAUUGAGGCCAUGGUUGAACCAACUAAUCCCACGGACGAUAAUAAUGGAAUUAAGGCUAUCGAGAAUAUGAUGUUGUUCCAGUAUCUUGUCAACACACUCGAAGCAGAUUUUGUACCUCGUCAUAUUGCAUACAAAAAGUCACUAGACUGGGUGAUCUUCAGGGAAUCCCUGUUAAAUAUGCUUCUGGGAUCACGAAAGCUCGUGUUCAAAUCUUUUGUAAAGGACUGCAUGUAUCUUCUACUCAACCAGUUUCACCCUGAAGCUAAAGAUGCAGUUGAAGGCAGCAUACCUUCUGAAGGAGAAGCUAAAUCAGCAUCUGAUAUGGAUUCUUCCCUAAAUUAUUUAUUGCUGGAGUCAGAAAGGACUCUUGUAUCUCUCCGGAAAUUAUUUGUGAUGGUCAUGGAACUUGAUUUGAUCAGGAAAGAAGCAGACACACUAGGCCUGACUUCAAGAGCUGACGGUUUCAGGUCAUCCAGAAACCCUAUCAUGGAAGUUAUUUUGGAUGAGCUAACUUAUAACAUCAGUUAUUUAUCCCCAUUUCUCUUGGCCUUCAUGGAAUGGAAGUGGAAAUUGGAGAUUAUUUUGCAGUACUUUUCAAAAUACUGUGGCAAGGGCGCAGUUCGUACUCGAAGGUCGGAUAAUUCACAACAAGAUUUGAAAUUGGGAAGUGUCCUGAGUUUCUUUUCGACAACCACAAGCGCAAAAGCUAUUGUCAAAAAGAUGGGUACAGAAGUUGCACAGCAUCUUUUAGCGCAUGCCUACCAGUUUCGUUACAUAUCUUCAGGUUUGCCUGUCUGUUCAAAGUGACUCAAGCGAUUCUACUGCUACAACCGAAAAGAUUGGAGCAAGUCUCCAAGAGAUAUCUUGCAACUUCAUAUCUGCUUUUCAAAAUCUCAGAAAAGUUGCCCCGAAUAUCCAGAUCUCGCCAUUUGAGAAAGAAGCUCUGUUUACUGCUGCAACGUUGUCUAGGAAAUUGAAGAAUGAAGAAAGAUAGACUAUGGCAUGAUUCAGAUGGUGUGACUCUAGCUCGCGGUAUAAUCCAAAAAGCCUAUUUUGGCCUCUCUAUGGCAUGAUUAUGUCUCCCUGUACAUAUGUGAUAUGGCUUUAUUAUCUAUCUAUAUCCCCUCCUAGUAGCGUGUACUGCAAAGCUGAAGAUACAGAGCUUAUGAAUCUAUUCUACAUAACUUAUGCA
Molecule: RNA transcript, 1914 nt
Organism: Panicum hallii
Lineage: Eukaryota; Viridiplantae; Streptophyta; Magnoliopsida; Poales; Poaceae
Gene name: negative regulator of systemic acquired resistance SNI1
Exons: 15
Source: RefSeq, a predicted model, not a curated record